Molecule: long non-coding RNA, 1345 nt
Organism: Passer domesticus (house sparrow)
Lineage: Eukaryota; Metazoa; Chordata; Aves; Passeriformes; Passeridae
Exons: 3
Source: RefSeq, a predicted model, not a curated record
GGUACGGCGAGGGAGGGAGCGCCAGCACUCGGGAAACAUAAACGGCAGCCGGAAGAAUAUCGAAUUGAAAUGUUGCUAGCGGAGAACUCCGCCGGCAGACUCGGCUGGAAAUUAUCUGAGACACCGCGGCACAAAAAUGCUUCCUUUUCACGAGGCAAAUGGUCUAAUCAAGAUGUAUGUGCAUGACAAUGCGCUCGCAGGGAGUGAAAGUCGGAGUUAUCUGCUUCAAUUACGGCACUUCCCGUGUCCCUGUCCUGGCAAAGGAUGAGAAUAAUAAAUACAAACCAGUUUAUUCUGAACCUGUAACUGACUUGAGUAACUCAGCUCCCAUUGAGCCGCACGUGAAGUAUGGAAAAAAAAAAAGUUACCAGGUAAAAUAUUGUGAGUAUUCUAGAGGAAUGAAAUAGGAAAUGAAAUAGGAAAUGAAAUAUUAAAUAUUAUAUGAAAUGCUGGCUUGCAGCCAGCGGUGUCUCAAUAUCCAACAGGACACAGGGAUGUGCCCAUGAGGGAGAAUUGAUUGUGAGCUCUUGGCAUGAGAAUGGAAAUUGGAGGAGGGUUUUGGGAAGUUCACAUCCUAGAAUCAAUCCUGGAAUCACAGACUGGUUUGGCUUGGGAACCACCUUCAGGAUCCUCCAGUUCCAACCACAUGGAGAGCGAGGGGCACCUUUGGCUGGACCCCACCUGUGGCCAGCAAAAUGAGGGCACUGUUCUCUAUCAUUUUCCAUCACUUGUGGAGAGGGCUGGAAUUCCUGCCUGAGCAGCUUCAUGAAGAAAUGAACUUUGGCUGAACACAAAUAGCACAUACAGAAGGAAACCAGAUAAAAACCAAAGCAGGCCUCAGUUUCUUUUGAGGUAAACUGAGUGAUCCCAGGUGUCAGUGCCCCAGAGACCUGCCCAGCCUUUUAUAGGACUCUUGGACAGUUUAUGGACAGCAGCUGACACCUGUAAAAUUCACCUGGAGCUAUUCAGCAGUUUGAAACACCUCGAUGCAAUUUACCCAGAACUCUUCAUGCACAAAGAAAAGGCAAAAAUUGAUUGGAGUGGCUGAGGAACUCCUCUGUCCUGUCUUUAAAAAGUGGAUAUAAAGCUGUCAGCUUUUACAGCUGCCCUCACACUGCUUCAAUCAAGCAGAGCUUUGGAGGGGAGGUUCCUUUCCCAGCCUGGAGUCCUGAUGCUCCAGGAGCCAGGUCCAGUGCAGGGAUGGGGUGUGAGGCAGCUUCUGCAGCAGCAUCUUCAUCUGCAUCACCUGCAUCUGCAUCACCUGCAUCCCUUGCCAAGGAAGGUACCGACCCCUCAGCUGUGCUGGGUUUCAGUUUUAUUAAUAAAUUCUAAUUAGAAAAAGAAU